CAUGGCGGAGCGCCCGAGGAAGCGUCCGUGUGGCCCAGGUGAACACGGCCAAAGGGUUGAAUGGCGAAAAUGAAAGCAGCAGUAGAAGGAGGAGAAAAAGAAGUGGAAGGAUCUCAAAAUGAUGAAAAAACUGGAGCGGCAGCGGGCCCAGGAAGAACAGGCUAAGCGCCAGGAAGAGGAGGAGGCUGCUGCCCAAAGUAACGACCAGGGGCCUUACACUCUGAGUGUGGCCCUGUCAGGCUCCAUCCUGGACAACGCCCAGUCAUCUGAGCUUCACACCUACCUGGCUGGGCAGAUUGCCAGAGCCUGUACCAUCUUCUGUGUGGACGAGAUUGUGGUGUUCGAUGAAGAGGGUCAAGAUACCAAGACUGUGGAAGGGGAAUUCAGGGGAGUUGGCAAGAAGGGGCAGGCAUGUGUACAGCUGGCCCGCAUCCUGCAGUACCUGGAGUGUCCACAGUACCUGAGAAAGGCGUUCUUCCCCAAACACCAGGAUCUGCAAUUUGCAGGGAUCCUCAACCCCUUGGACAGCCCUCACCACAUGCGGCAGGACAAGGAAUCAGAGUUCCGAGAAGGCAUCGUGGUGGGCCGGCCCACCAAGGCAGGCCACGGCUCUCUGGUUAACUGUGGGAUGAAGAAGGAGGUGAAGAUUGACAAGAAACUGGAGCCCGGACUUCGGGUGACCAUGUGACUGAACCAAAAGCAGCUCCCAGAGUGUAAGACAAGGGAACAGUCAGGUCCUCACAGGACCCCUGCACCAAAGCCGGUCUCUACUGGGGCUACACCGUCCGCCUGGCCUCCUGUCUCAGUGCUGUGUUUGCUGAGGCUCCCUUUCAGGAUGGGUACGAUUUGACCACUGGGACAUCAGAACGUGUCUCCAACGUGGCCUCUGCCCAGCUGCUCAGCUUCAGGCAUGCUCUUGUGGUGUUCAGGGGCCUCUAGGGGCUGGAAGCUGGAGUGGAUGCUGACCCCAACCUGGAAGUGUCUGAACCCAGUGUUCUCUUCGACUUUUAUGUCAACACAUGCCCCAGCCAGGGCAGUCGUACCAUCGCACUGAGGAAGCGAUACUCAUCUCCUUGACUGCCCUGCAACCUGGUCUCACCCAGGCUGGUUCCCAGACCACCAGACAACUUUCUGGAUCCAGGAUGUAGAAGCAGCAGGAAAUGGAGGAUCACUAGGAACAGACAUGGUCAAGACUUGUUUACAAAAAUAAUCACCUUUAAUAUGAGCCAGUCCAAUCUCCCUCACUUGCUGCCAGCAGUGAUGGCCUUGAGGUUUCCAACUCGAGCCAGGAUACUGGGCACGAAGAGCAGCCCUGAAGCCCACUCA
Molecule: non-coding RNA, 1326 nt
Organism: Myodes glareolus (Bank vole)
Lineage: Eukaryota; Metazoa; Chordata; Mammalia; Rodentia; Cricetidae
Source: RefSeq, a predicted model, not a curated record